This 76-nucleotide transfer RNA is filed under the name Candidatus Bathyarchaeota archaeon. Its description in RNAcentral is "tRNA-Cys". It matches the Rfam family "tRNA". Rfam says of the family: Transfer RNA (tRNA) molecules are approximately 80 nucleotides in length. Lineage: Archaea; Thermoproteati; Candidatus Bathyarchaeota. The record is from RNAcentral.
GCCGGGGUGGCUGAGCGGUUAAGGCGGCCGGCUGCAGACCGGCUCUAUACCGGUUCAAAUCCGGUCCCCGGCUCCA